Molecule: long non-coding RNA, 1553 nt
Organism: Drosophila guanche
Lineage: Eukaryota; Metazoa; Arthropoda; Insecta; Diptera; Drosophilidae
Exons: 3
Source: RefSeq, a predicted model, not a curated record
CUCCACCCGCACAACAGCUCAGCCGGAGCAGCCCUGCUGAUUACUGGGUAUUUCAAAUCGGAUACAAAAUUCGAAGGCGGAAAUAUAUUUGACCGAGGCGAGGAGAGAAAUUUGCCGCUCAGUUGUCGAAACCGUUAACCAAAUGCCCCGCAGCUAAGAUACGCGCAGAGAUAUUCGAUUUCACCACGAACCGGAGGGCGUGUGGCCAUAAUGCGAUUAAAUGUUAUAUUUUUAGAUGUCAGGUAUGCGAGUUUGUAUGUAUCUUGUGCUUCCCAGAAGAACGGAGCUUAGAUGCUGCCUUUUUGCUGCCGUUUCUGCUGAAUUUCGAAAGCUUUGGAUGGACCAGAUCCAGUGGCAGGACCACUGACCGUAUGCUUGAUGUGCAAUCGAAACGGCAUCAAUUGUCUCAUAAAUCAUGCCACCCGUAUGUAUAAAUUACACCCCGCAUAGAUCGCAGCCGAACAACCGCAAUGCCUCGUCUAAUUCCUGGGAAUCGAAACAAAGGCGCAACAGCAAAAAUCCCCAUUCCGAAUUCGAUCCUAAGCGGCAAGCUGCGCUCCUUGAAAUAUUAAUAAAAAUUUCAAACUGCGUUCGGCUUAUGGAACUGCUGCACCGCACCCAUUCGACUUCGAUGAUAAAGUGAUGAUGCCCCAAGGUUCCAAAAUUGCUUUCAAAUAGAGUCCGAGCCCCGGAGCCACUUUGACUUCUGAAUUCAGGCAAAAGAGUUUAGCAUAUGAAUAAAGACGCACCGCCCCAAUGAUUCGUCUCGAUCCCCCCCAAUUUAAAUGCAAAGCGACAAUGUGUGAUGAUAAUGCCUCGAUGAUCCAGCAUUUGCCAUGAGGGGGGGAAGGCCAUGGGGAUGAGAGUGAUGAUGCCACCAUCAUUCGGCAGGGCAAAAUAAUUAAACGAGUAUCGUAAAACUGAAAUAUAAUGGAUUUAUGUAAAGUUAUGUUACACGCUCUGGCUGGAAAUGGACACAAAUGCGAUAAGCCGGCUCACAACAAAUGGCAGCAAAUAAAUAAAAAAUCAUUAAGAGCUUCGGUUCGGUGUCCUAUUAUGGAUGGAUCCACAGACUAAAUACCGAAUAAAGCAUUGAGAUAGGCCCAAACAGAAUCGAGUGGAAACGAAAACCAGCUUAGGGGCGGUUCUGGCUUUUGAUGUAAGCCCACAAAUCAGUUAAACAAAUUUGUAUUUACCAAAAAAAAUACAAAAUCAUUUGCCGCAAAAUUCAUUCACGACCUGCGAUCGGACAAGACACAAAAGACACAACCGAAUGUGAAGAAAAAUUGGAGAUAUAAUUAUUAAAGGUGUUUUCGCCUUGAGUGGCUGCGCCUGGCAGCCGGGGAUGGACAUUGGUCACCAAUUAUGCUAAUACCUUGCUGAAAAUGUCUGCCUAAAAUCCAUAUUUAAAUUAUUAACACAGAAACCGCAGCUAAGCGAAUUCCCCAUUCGGUUUCAGAAACCAACUGCUAGCCAGAUUGAACAUGUUCAACAUUAAUCUUGACUGAUAAAUUAAAAAAGAAUUAAUUAAAAUGAGCAAUCACUUCGGGCCG